UGCGGGCUGGGCGCGCGCGCACCGCUGUGCGCUGGGUCCCCACGGCCUUCCCCGGGCCCUCGCUGCCCCGUUUGCGCCGCGCCGCCCAGAGCUCGAGGCCAAGCAGCCUUAGGUGUUUAGGACAAGGGCCCGGGGGCCCGGGGGCCCGCGGAGACCUGCGCCUGGGUCUGGGACCCGUGGACGCGUUCUCCCCGCAGGCGCUCGCUCGCCGUGCCCCAUCCGGCGCUCACAAGUCCUCGGUGGCCCUUUUAAUGGGAAAACAGCAGCCAGCAAGGUCGGAAACAUGUUAUUUAUAAUUCAUGGGCCGGUCUUCGAACCCUUUCAAACGAAACCCACAGCGAUUUCUUUGAAAGAAAUGCCAGGACUCUGCUCAGAAGCCGCGGGUUUUCUAAGGACGGCCCGGCAGCCGCAGAUAGUAAACGACCCCGCCCGCCACGUUUGUUUCUGAUUAUUAGCUUUGCCGCUGCUUAGCGAAAUGUAACCGAAGAGUUUAUAAACAUCGUUUCUUCGGGGAGCCGGACACGCGUUCGACCCCAGCACUGAAUCUAGAGGGAGCUGUGCGCUUCGGAUGCAGAAAAGGAUGAAGCGAAUCGACGUCAACCCCCCACCCGCAAACGUGCAAGUCGACGCUGGAACCGGUGCGUCUCCGGAGUCUGCGUCCGGCGCCCCCCGCCCCGUGUCCCGACUCAGAAGUUUUCCCGAGGCGGCGGGUGGGGAAGUCUGAGUUCAUCCGAACCGCGGGGGUUGUUCCCGGACUCUCUCCCUAGCACGGGUCCUGAGAACAAAGGCGCGUGAGAGAAGGGUGGCCGGCUGGGUGCUGCCGGUCGCGUCCAGCAAACCACGUCUUCCUUCCCCCGCUCUCGUGCCAAGAGGCUGGGUUUGUCAAUUUUGUCCUUAUAGAGAGGAGCUUCGGAAGGCGAGCCCCCUCCACACCCCAGGUAUCCACCUCCGCGGCCAGGCGCGCCCCGCAAGGCCAGCAGCCAAUCCCGCGUCACACCCGCCUUCCACCCAGCACGCCUGCCCACCCGCCGCGGGUCCCCAUGGCCUCCCCCGCACCCCGCUUCUGGAGAGGUUGGUGACGCCGCAGGUCCCGCCCCCGGCCCGGCCCGGCGACUGCGUGCUGACGUCAUGCUGCGUGCGGGCCGGUGCGGUCGGUCCUGCAAGUCCACGGGGCCGGAGUUAGUUCGCAAAGAGCAGGCGGGGCGCGCGACCCUCGCACUGUGCCCAAGCUGCCCUUGGCGCACUCCUCCUUCUGCAUGGUGGACGUUAUUUUUCACUAUCCUUUUCUGGGUGCUAUGGGGGAUCAUUCCAAGAAGAAGCCGGGCACCGCCACGUGCGUGGGCUGCGGGAGUCAGAUCCACGACCAGUUCAUCUUGCGGGUGUCCCCGGACCUCGAGUGGCACGCCGCCUGCCUCAAGUGCGCCGAGUGCAGCCAGUACCUGGAUGAGACGUGCACGUGCUUCGUGAGAGACGGGAAGACCUACUGCAAACGGGACUACGUCAGGCUGUUCGGCAUCAAGUGCGCCAAGUGCCAGGUGGGCUUCAGCAGCAGCGACCUGGUGAUGCGGGCGCGGGACAGCGUGUACCACAUCGAGUGCUUCCGCUGCUCCGUGUGCAGCCGCCAGCUGCUGCCCGGCGACGAGUUCUCCCUGCGGGAGCACGAGCUGCUGUGCCGCGCGGACCACGGCCUCCUGCUGGAGCGUGCCGCGGCCACAAGCCCGAGCAGCCCUGGCCCGCUCCCCGCGCGGGGCCUGCAUCUGCCAGACCCCGGGGCUGGCCGGCAGCCCGCGCCGCGCCCGCACGCGCACAAGCAGGCGGAGAAGACGACCCGCGUGCGCACGGUGCUCAACGAGAAGCAGCUGCACACGCUGCGGACCUGCUACGCCGCCAACCCGCGGCCCGACGCGCUCAUGAAGGAGCAGCUGGUGGAGAUGACCGGCCUGAGCCCGCGGGUCAUCCGCGUCUGGUUCCAGAACAAGCGUUGCAAGGACAAGAAGAAAUCCAUCCUCAUGAAACAACUGCAGCAGCAGCAGCACAGCGACAAGACGAGCCUCCAGGGCCUGACCGGGACGCCCCUGGUGGCGGGCAGCCCCAUCCGCCACGACAGCGCCGUGCAGGGCAGCGCGGUCGAGGUGCAGACGUACCAGCCUCCGUGGAAAGCGCUCAGCGAGUUCGCGCUGCAGAGCGACUUGGACCAGCCCGCCUUCCAGCAGCUGGUCUCCUUCUCCGAGUCUGGCUCCCUAGGCAACUCCUCCGGCAGCGACGUGACCUCCCUGUCCUCGCAGCUCCCCGACACGCCCAACAGCAUGGUGCCGAGUCCGGCGGAGACGUGAGGGGGACCCCCGAGCCCGCGGACCGCGCAUGCUCCCUGCAUGAGACUCGCCCGUGCUAAGGCCCCGUCCGCCGAAAGCUCCCGCCUUUGUAACUGUUAUUACUGUUAUUUCAAGAGGACGGAGAGGCGUCAGCACUGCCCCGAGCGCCAGGACGCACCCGCUUUCCCAGGCUGGACGGCGCUGCUCCCAGGACUUGGACUUUUCAGAACGGGAAUUCGGGAUUUACUAGCGUUAGCUCUGCACCCUCCUCUGCCUGCGUCCGCGCCCCCGCGGCUCCCGGGGCGCCGCGGGGAGACGACGCGACAGCCCAGAGGAGCAGCCUCGACCCCGCAAAGCGCAUGAAUGCCGAAAAACUAGAAACGGGACUUACCUUGAAAAUGCUUAAGUUAUCCGUCGACGGAGGACAGAGCGUGUGAGCCUUUGCCGAACAAAACACCCGAAUGCCGGGGCGGGGAUGGCCCAGGUCACUCGGUGUGACAUUUCAAACCCUGCCACUUGUUUUCUUGAAAACUGGCUUUAGAGCUCGCAGGAAAUAACCGAGAGAUACCGAAUCUCCAGCAGCCCCGGGCGAGCGCACGGAACGCGGGCUCAGGUUUUCCCCUCCGCGAGUUUAACUCUUUGGCAGCCUCACUCGCCGCACUCGGGAGCUGCCAGCCAAGCAGCCCAACCGCGACUCUUGAGAAAUCGCUGCCGUUGGCUUUGUUUCCCUGUCCCUCGAGUGAAAUGACCCGCAAGUAUAUCGUUCUCUGCCCGGGAUUUGUUUUGAAAGACGGCAGUGCCCCGAGUAGGGGGCAGCUGCGGUGGCGGGAUGGAGUACUGGGCGCCUUCUGCUAAAAGCCGCGGCUGCUUGCACGGCAGAGCUGACGGCAGGCACCGUCGCCCGGUCGCGAGGGAAGGCUGGAAGUCGGGAGGGCAGUUAUCGAAAGAAAAUGGGAGGUGGUGGGGAAAUUGGGUCACGUGUCUAUUUUGCUUCCUGAAAGUCAAGGUGAUGCUAGCACAAAAAUUAAAAAGGACACUUCCCUUCGGGAUUUAGGAAACGGUGCUGCAAACUUAGAGAUAAGGGAAGAGAUACGUCGGGUUAAUGAGGACCAGCUUUACCUCUCAAGGAUCCAGAUACGGUUUUAAUAAUCAGGGUUAGGCUCUUUGAGGCUUCAUUCUCUUAACUUAGACCAUUCCCUCCCAAACAGAAAUAGUUCCUUUUACCUUUUGACUGGCCGUUGGAUAGAGGGCUAAACUUCCAAGAAAUCUUCCUUUCAAAAACUUUUAAUUUAUCCACAAUAUUGGGUUUUGUCAUCUUAAAAAAAAAAAAAAGGUUCUUGAAUAAUUUCAUUAAUGGUUGUUAAUUAGCUCCACAUUUUUUUAUUUUGACAGCACUAUUUUAAUGUCAUGAAUGGAAACAUCUGUCUAGUCAUCUCUUUAUCAUUCAUAGAUCGAAAUCUAAUUCCUCUUUUUGAUGUUUUUGAAUACUGGGAAAUUACCCAGAUAAAAGUGGUUACUGUAUAUUGGGAUGCCUGUGUCUAUCUGUAUUUACUGUAUUAAACAUCAUAAGCUUUUCCCCUGUAGUUUCUUGCCAGCUGCCCUAAGUGGCACAUUGUUUUCCAGGGAAAGGAGUUGACUUUGAAGCUUUAUUACAAUGGUCCCUGGUGAGGUGUCGGAUCUACGGUUGGUUAGUUACAUUAAUAUCAGUUUUAAUGGCUCCCGGGUCAUUUUUAAACAUCUUCUGUAAUACAGUAGGGAUUUUCUUGUAAAUUAAAUUGCCUGUAACAAUUACAA
This is an RNA transcript of Pteropus alecto (black flying fox), 4106 nucleotides long. It is a transcript of the gene named ISL LIM homeobox 2, with no coding region annotated. The record is from RefSeq and is a predicted model, not a curated record. Lineage: Eukaryota; Metazoa; Chordata; Mammalia; Chiroptera; Pteropodidae. The transcript is spliced from 8 exons.